Molecule: ribosomal RNA, 501 nt
Filed under: uncultured bacterium
Lineage: Bacteria
Description: partial 16S ribosomal RNA
Rfam family: Bacterial small subunit ribosomal RNA
Source: RNAcentral
AACGAACGCUGGCGGCAUGCCUUACACAUGCAAGUCGAACGGCAGCACGGGUGCUUGCACCUGGUGGCGAGUGGCGAACGGGUGAGUAAUACAUCGGAACGUACCUUAUCGUGGGGGAUAACGCAGCGAAAGCUGUGCUAAUACCGCAUACGCCCUGAGGGGGAAAGCGGGGGAUCGCAAGACCUCGCGCGAUUAGAGCGGCCGAUGCCUGAUUAGCUUGUUGGUGGGGUAAAAGCCCACCAAGGCGACGAUCAGUAGCUGGUCUGAGAGGACGAUCAGCCACACUGGGACUGAGACACGGCCCAGACUCCUACGGGAGGCAGCAGUGGGGAAUUUUGGACAAUGGGGGCAACCCUGAUCCAGCAAUGCCGCGUGAGUGAAGAAGGCCUUCGGGUUGUAAAGCUCUUUUGUCAGGGAAGAAACACCGGCUCUAACACAGUCCGGGAAUGACGGUACCUGAAGAAUAAGCACCGGCUAACUACGUGCCAGCCGCCGCAGUAA